GGAAGCUACUGGAUAUCCUAAUGAUUUAAGUCACUGCAGUUACUUAAGUUACCUUCUUUGCUGCUUUAUUUCAUGAAGCUAGAAACAUUGGAGCGUGGCUGAACAUUUAUUCUUUUUCCCUUCCCCACAAUGAAUUAGGAAGGUGGUCCCUGCUUAAAAUAGAUAGACAAUUAUCAGACCACUAAGGCAGCCAGUUGUAGCUUCAUUCACACUGGUUCUCUGUGGAUGCCAAGAGUUUGCAGGAUUGAGGCCAGUAUUUAUAACUCCAAUCUACUGCAUAGCUCUUUUUCAAUUCUUGAUUCUUAACAGGUGCUCUCCUCCUGCCCAGUCUCUGCUGACUGUGAAAGCAAUUGAAGGAAUAAUUUCCUGGGAUAUGGUGUCCAGCUGUGUGCAUGCAUGAUAUACUGAAAAUAAGGGACACUGCUAUUUGGAGAGUGUUUCCAGUGGUGAAGCUCUGAAUGGCCUGGGAUCUGAUAGACAUCCCAGAUUCUGGCUCUGAGUCCAGUGAAGUAUUUCUAAGCAUGCUUAACUCCAGGCACAUGACUGCUCCAGCAAACAUUUGGAAGACUUUCUACAGGCUCAAAGGUAAGCACACACUUAGAGGGUUUGCUAACUGCAAGUUUUGUUUUUCUGAUAUAUUUUAUGACUGUGCAGUGCACAAUAAAAAUGCUCUUGAAUAAAGAUCAGUAUCUUUCAUUCAUUUUCUAUUAUUCUAUGUUCAUCAUUGUCCGUGUUUCUGCUGAAUUGUUUAUCUAGAGUCAAAUAUUGCAGUAAAGGGGCAUCUGUGAAAAGUAGCACUUUGAUACACAAGUGGUCAAAACCAAUGACAGCAAAAAAUGUGUCCAAGAUUUCUUUUGCAUAAAUGACAUGUAAAUACAUGGGAAAAAGAAAAGGAGAUAUUGCCAAUGAAUAAGAAAGGAGGAACAAAGUGGCUCUGUGUAUAUUUUUACUGCUAAAGGGUAUCUUUUUUUACUGCAGCUUAACUGGUGCCUGCUAAGUCUUGCUCUGCAAGGUUCUACAGGCACUGCAGGCACCACAGGGUAGCUGAGCAGGCUCAAGUCUCUCACACACAGCACUGUCUGCCUUUGCCCACUCUCAUCUCUUAGAGAAACUGUAGUGCUCAGCUUCUGCUAAGGGGGAUAGCUAACAUCUAAUACUGUAAAGUUAUGCAACUACCACAGCAACUACCAGAGUAGUAUUGGCAGUGAUUAAAAAAAACUAUUUGCUUUUCUAAUGGUUAUGAAAUCAUUAUAAUGAUUAUGAAAUUAAUUCUCAUUCCAGGGUAGCAGUUAGGGAAAUGGAAUUCAGAGGCAUUAGGCAAAGAUGCAAUCCCAGUUGAAUUUUUAAGUUUUAAAAGUUAGAACAUGAAACUGAAAACCAACUGUCUGGUUAUGAGGACGACAUGUUAUGAGGAGGACAUGUUCUUUAUGAGCUGUUCGCUUACAUUUUCUGAUGAUUCAUCUGCCUGUGGAAAUCCUUUGCCAUCCCUUAUAGACUAAAAUAUCAUUCUGAAGAUAGAGACAGGAUUCAAGCAGUACCAUUCUCCCCAGAUAUCUUCUGAUGAGGUGUCAGCUUCCUUUUGGCAGAGUCUGCAGGAUAGAUAAGGGACUGUGGCUACAGGCACAAAGGGCUUUUAUGACAAGGUGAGAAAGAGAAAGUUUCAGAUUAGCAGGAAUUUGUAUCUUUAUUGUGCUUUUAACUUCAGUUUCAAAUCUUAAAACAGAUUUUUGCUGGUACUUGAACUCAGUGAACUAAUGUCCUAUUGCAUUUUAAUUUCAUCACUCUGAGUCUCUGACUUCAAAGCCUGCUCCAAGUCUAGAGAAAAGUUUGCAGUCUGCUUGAUUUGGCCAUAGAAAUGUGGAUUUCUUGAUAUGGUGACAAAACAGGGGGAGCUCUUGAAAUUCACCAGUCAUGACUAAAAAACAGUCCACUAUGUGUUUUGGAAGAUCCAUUGUACUUGCACCUGGACGAAGAAUAAUCUUACCCAGCUCUUUACUGUUGAAGUGAGGAUUACUUCUUUUUAAGGAAACAAAUAGAGGAAACUUUGGAGGUAGACUAAUUGAAAAUAAAGUGAAGUAUAACAAUAAAAUAAAUAUAAAA
Molecule: long non-coding RNA, 2100 nt
Organism: Parus major (Great Tit)
Lineage: Eukaryota; Metazoa; Chordata; Aves; Passeriformes; Paridae
Source: Ensembl